UACAGAGGUGGCAAGCGUUGUUCGGAAUUACUGGGCGUAAAGCGCGCGUAGGCGGCUUUGCAAGCCGGAUGUGAAAUCCCCGGGCUUAACCUGGGAACUGCAUUCGGGACUGCAUUGCUAGAGUAUGGGAGAGGGAAGUGGAAUUUCAGGUGUAGCGGUGAAAUGCGUAGAUAUCUGAAGGAACAUCAGUGGCGAAAGCGACUUCCUGGACCAAUACUGACGCUCAUGUGCGAAAGCGUGGGGAGCAAACAGG
Molecule: ribosomal RNA, 253 nt
Filed under: uncultured bacterium
Lineage: Bacteria
Description: partial 16S ribosomal RNA
Rfam family: Bacterial small subunit ribosomal RNA
Source: RNAcentral